This 562-nucleotide ribosomal RNA is filed under the name uncultured bacterium. RNAcentral describes it as "bacterial SSU rRNA". It matches the Rfam family "Bacterial small subunit ribosomal RNA", at positions 338 to 916 of the family's 1533-position model. The record is from RNAcentral.
CCUACGGGAGGCAGCAGUGGGGAAUCUUGCGCAAUGGGCGAAAGCCUGACGCAGCAACGCCGCGUGCGGGAAGAAGGCUUUCGGGCUGUAAACCGCUUUCAGCAGGAACGAAAAUGACGGUACCUGCAGAAGAAGGAGCGGCCAACUAUGUGCCAGCAGCCGCGGUGAUACAUAGGCUUCAAGCGUUGUCCGGAUUUAUUGGGCGUAAAGAGUUCGUAGGCGGUCGAGUAAGUCGGGUGUGAAAAUUCUGGGCUCAACCCAGAGACGCCACCCGAUACUGCUUGACUUGAGUUCGAUAGGGGAGUGGGGAAUUCCUAGUGUAGCGGUGAAAUGCGCAGAUAUUAGGAGGAACACCGGUGGCGAAGGCGCCACUCUGGAUCGAUACUGACGCUGAGGAACGAAAGCAUGGGUAGCAAACAGGAUUAGAUACCCUGGUAGUCCAUGCCGUAAACGGUGGGCACUAGGUGUGGGUUUCUAUUAACGAAAUCCGCGCCGUCGCUAACGCAUUAAGUGCCCCGCCUGGGGAUACGGUCGCAAGACUAAAACUUAAAUGAAUUGACGG